CGAUAUGACUAAAAGUCAGUUUUACACUUCCCCAUAUAUUUAAUUAGUAUGAUAUAACAGUUGUUUUAGUAGUCAUUGUUCCACUUACAUUCUUUUUUGUUGAAAGUAGGAUUAUAGAUGGAAAGGAGAGAAGAAUUAAAGGAGAAAUAGAGAGGGGAAGAAGGUAGAACAGGAGGAUUAUAGGGUGCUCUACGAUUCCCAUAUCUUCCAGAAAUUUGGCAGAAUUAUGAAGACGUGCCCUGAGGGAAACACGGAUAUACUUAGACUAGAGGUCUCUUCCUUUCUCUUCUUUUUGGAGUAAAAAGUAAGGGACACAAGCCCUGAAAAUGAUCAACUUGUUGAUUGAUAACAACCCCAAGUGGGUGGAGAUUUGUGUUUUAUUGGGUGAUACCUCCCCUUGAGAUUCUAAAACAUGGCUUGAAAAUGAGUGUCAAAUGGCUGUAUAAACAAAGUGAUUUAACUCCUAAAUGGAUGAGAAUUGAGCAAUGAGACUGCAGGGGGCAUGAUCUAGAUACCAAGACUGCUUCAAUAAGCUAAAAUUGUUAUAGUAACAAUAGCGUACCUUAUAAAUUUUGUUAAAUCUAAGAGGAUGCCAAAGAGUCCCUUCUAUAUCUAGAAUAACUUAAAGAAACACGAUGAUGUUUGGAAUAUAAACAUGUACUCCGGUAACUAUUUAGCCAUCUGCCCUCCCGCCAUGAAUUUAUAAUUUUUUUUAAAGCCACAAUCUACUUACCUUAUUUCCCAUGAUGCGAUGGUCUCUGUGCUGGAUCAUGAAUCCUGAAUUCCC
Molecule: non-coding RNA, 787 nt
Organism: Pelobates cultripes (western spadefoot toad)
Lineage: Eukaryota; Metazoa; Chordata; Amphibia; Anura; Pelobatidae
Source: the annotation of a GenBank genome assembly